Molecule: unclassified non-coding RNA, 1152 nt
Filed under: Hevea brasiliensis (rubber tree)
Lineage: Eukaryota; Viridiplantae; Streptophyta; Magnoliopsida; Malpighiales; Euphorbiaceae
Source: RNAcentral
UUUCUAUUUGGCAUUCGCGCGCAAGGUUGGCUGCGUCAGAUUCAAUCUUCAUCCUUUUCCAGUGAUGAUCUCAGUUGAAUUCCCUAAUUCAAAUUGAAUCAAGAUUAGGGAUUUAACUUGAUAGAUCCCCCUUUUAACGGUAAUAGUAAAGGUACAGUCACUGCACUUCUUGUUGAAAUCUAUAUAGUGAUGUGUCGUUGUGAUUAGUUUUAAAUGAGUUUGGCUCUGCUCAGUUUUUUAGCUGCUGAAGUUUUUUGGAUGGAAUGAAUUGUCAUUUGUCUCUGUUUUAAUUUUAAUUAUAUUCAAAUUUUGCCAAAAAGUGGGAGAUGUGAUUUCAAUUUUCCUAAUUCAGCUAUAAAACCAGUGUGUAUCUGAAGUUACGUGGUUAGCAUCUGAUCGCCCUUAGGCAUUACUGAGUCAUGCAUUGGGAUGUGGAAGUCUUGUUACUUGUUAGAGUGUUACAUUUCUUUGAAUCCUUUCUUUAGCUCUUCCACAUAUUUUUUAUGAGGUAAGAGUUUACAAGUUGAGAAACAUUGUGCUUCCGGAAGAUUACAACAAUGUCAACGAAGGAAGGCAAUGCUGGUGAAACAACUGAAAUUUACAUGGAAGAUUCUUCUGUAGAUGCUGAGAGACAUUUGUCUGACACGUACCAUGGAAGUAAUUAGGAAUCUUACCAAAGAAAAUGGGCUGCAAGAUGACACUCCGUUGACACAGAUUGCUCAUGACAAGCUUGUACAAAUGGUUAUCGAGCUAAAGUUUUAGAAUGAGUUCUUGAAGUCUCAGUUUGAGGCUUUGAAAAAUCUUCAAUCAGCAGAUGAUGGAUCUCAACAGAGAACAGAAGCACGUGAUAAAAAAACUGGGAAAUCUGCUGAUAUGGAUGUACUCCAUAAAAGGAUUGAGUCCUUGAAUAGAGAACUUCUCGAAGAAAAACAAACAAGAGGUGCAGCAGAGGAGGCUUUGAAGCAUCUUCGUGAGGCACACUCUGAAGCAGAUGCAAAAUCCCAAGAGCAAUCUGCAAAGCUUGCUGAAGGAAAGGGAUGACCUUGAAGCCCAGUUUCAUGAAAUUAACAAAGCUGCUGAACGAGCAUCAUUACAGCAGUCAACACUGCAGCAAGAUAUAGAACGCAAGAGGCAACAAGCAAAUGAUGCAUU